CAUCUGAUUGAAAGUCAUUACAAACUUCCAUCUCUAAGGAUAGAUAUAGAUUUCCAACUGCCCAAGUGGGAUAUAAAUAUGGUAAUUUGCUCAGGCCCACUUCCGACUGGCCAAACCAUGGUAUGAUCUAUUACCAUGACCAUACCAACCAUAGUGGACCUAAAAGAUAUCUAUAGUAACGACAUUACUUAGCCACAGGUGACCCCUAUAGAUAAUGCGAUACCACUCUCGUCAAAGGGCUCACCGUCAUCUGCUGCGAGCGGUCCUCUUACGUCUUUUCAGACAAGAUAGGAGAGGAGGAAAAAGAUACAUCGAAAGGCAAGGGGAACAGAUACCCUUCAGAGAUAAAAAGCCUAAUGAGACACUUGAUGAAAUAUGCAUGUCAAUACAAAUACACUUCAGACCAUAUAGGCUUCAUUCCACUUUUCUCUUUUUUUUUUCUUACUUUGCUAUUACAGACUACAUAUUAUAUAUAUUACAUGUAAAUUCAUCAAGUGUCAGUAAUUCACAUAGUAUGCUUGAAAAUUAGAACAAUUCGACUCAUUUGAACAUAGAGGCAUGCAAAACAAAUAAAAUAACAAUCAUAUUAAAUUUGUUUAUCUAAAAAAUACUCCUUAAGACGUCGAAAGUAAUAUUAGAUUCCUUACUGAAACCUUAAUGUUUUUUUCUUCACCAUUUUCCUUUUUUUCUCUUCUUCUCUCUAAUUUACUAUCUCUUUCUCUAAAUCUUUGAGAAAUGGAAGAAAUGGAAGUGUGGAGAGGAAGCAAAGGAGAAGGGCAAUUUAUAGAAGUUUGAAAUUGUUGUAUUCACACAAAUGGCAAAAUUCGGUGAA
This 832-nucleotide long non-coding RNA is filed under the name Carica papaya (papaya). RNAcentral's name for it is "long non-coding RNA (CPAP_LNC009893)". Lineage: Eukaryota; Viridiplantae; Streptophyta; Magnoliopsida; Brassicales; Caricaceae. The record is from RNAcentral.